GCCACUGAGAUGCAGGGGGUCAUAAAGGCCAUUGUUCUGAGCUCCAGAAGGUAGAGCAGAUGUGAACAACAGAAAGAAGGCCUCUCUCAGGCUCCUUGAUGAAAAUUGAAGCCCACUGGAAAAAUGAAGAAAAUCUCUGCAAUAAAGGCACACCAGACCACCAUACUUGGAAUCUAGCUGGCAAGUUAAAAGCAUUUCAUACUUGGAGAGUGUCAAGACUAUCUGAUAGAAGGGAACAAUGGAGCACAGGACAUUCUAAGAAGUGCAAAACAGACGAAUAAAGGGACUGAGGUAGGAAACAGCCUGGCAUGAUUUGAGAAUGACAGUAAUUAUUUACAGUUGGAAAUCAGGGCAUCAGGAUGAAACUACCAGAGAGCGUGUUGGAGAGAGACAGGUGAGUUUCGGCUCAAGGAGGGUUACAUACCAU
Molecule: long non-coding RNA, 427 nt
Organism: Heterocephalus glaber (naked mole-rat)
Lineage: Eukaryota; Metazoa; Chordata; Mammalia; Rodentia; Bathyergidae
Source: Ensembl